This 398-nucleotide ribosomal RNA is filed under the name uncultured bacterium. RNAcentral describes it as "partial 16S ribosomal RNA". It matches the Rfam family "Bacterial small subunit ribosomal RNA", at positions 523 to 918 of the family's 1533-position model. The record is from RNAcentral.
AUACGUAGGGUGCGAGCGUUGUCCGGAAUUACUGGGCGUAAAGAGCUCGUAGGUGGUUUGUCGCGUCGUCUGUGAAAUUCCGGGGCUUAACUCCGGGCGUGCAGGCGAUACGGGCAUAACUUGAGUACUGUAGGGGAGACUGGAAUUCCUGGUGUAGCGGUGAAAUGCGCAGAUAUCAGGAGGAACACCGGUGGCGAAGGCGGGUCUCUGGGCAGUAACUGACGCUGAGGAGCGAAAGCAUGGGUAGCGAACAGGAUUAGAUACCCUGGUAGUCCAUGCCGUAAACGGUGGGCGCUAGGUGUAGGGGUCUUCCACGACUUCUGUGCCGUAGCUAACGCAUUAAGCGCCCCGCCUGGGGAGUACGGCCGCAAGGCUAAAACUUAAAGGAAUGGGCGGGG